RNAcentral lists this ribosomal RNA (450 nucleotides) under uncultured bacterium. RNAcentral's name for it is "partial 16S ribosomal RNA". It matches the Rfam family "Bacterial small subunit ribosomal RNA", at positions 354 to 796 of the family's 1533-position model. The record is from RNAcentral.
GUGGGGAAUUUUGGACAAUGGGGGCAACCCUGAUCCAGCCAUCCCGCGUGUGCGAUGAAGGCCUUCGGGUUGUAAAGCACUUUUGGCAGGAAAGAAAUCGCACGGGAUAAUACCUCGUGUGGAUGACGGUACCUGCAGAAUAAGCACCGGCUAACUACGUGCCAGCAGCCGCGGUAAUACGUAGGGUGCAAGCGUUAAUCGGAAUUACUGGGCGUAAAGCGUGCGCAGGCGGUUCGGAAAGAAAGAUGUGAAAUCCCAGGGCUUAACCUUGGAACUGCAUUUUUAACUACCGGGCUAGAGUGUGUCAGAGGGGGGUGGAAUUCCGCGUGUAGCAGUGAAAUGCGUAGAUAUGCGGAGGAACACCGAUGGCGAAGGCAGCCCCCUGGGAUAACACUGACGCUCAUGCACGAAAGCGUGGGGAGCAAACAGGAUUAGAUACCCUUGUAGUCC